Molecule: long non-coding RNA, 199 nt
Organism: Fukomys damarensis (Damara mole-rat)
Lineage: Eukaryota; Metazoa; Chordata; Mammalia; Rodentia; Bathyergidae
Exons: 3
Source: RefSeq, a predicted model, not a curated record
UGGCGCUGGGUAGCAAAGCCGGAGAACCGCUGAGACGAGGGCUCCGCGAAGGAAUGUAGGUGUUCAAAUGCCAGCCGCGAAACCCCAGGAUCCCCCCUACAGGAGGAGGCAGGGGUCUGGUGCUCAUGUGGGUGGUCAGUUGCUGUGUCUCCAAAUCCGUGGCUCCCAGUGUUUUUUGAGACAGGCUCUCACUAUGUCG